Molecule: long non-coding RNA, 778 nt
Organism: Sardina pilchardus (European sardine)
Lineage: Eukaryota; Metazoa; Chordata; Actinopteri; Clupeiformes; Clupeidae
Exons: 3
Source: RefSeq, a predicted model, not a curated record
GUUCCCCUCUUGUUGUAUGCGUCACUUCAUUUACAAACUAAGACAGCGGAUUCCUACAGAAACUCAAGCACCCACGCAAUAAAUAAGCUAUGUAGCAAAAAAUACAUUUUACCGUGACUCGAGUGUUGUAAACCUGAAACCGAAACUUAACCGCUUGGAGCUCCAGUGGAAUACGCGAACAACCGGGCCAGCACUAAACUUGGAUAUUUCUGGAGGUAAAGGCCCCGGAUGAUGUCGAGGCAGCAUUGGAGAAACUGAACAUUUUUACACAUGUGAAACUGUUCGUCCACAUCCUUUUAAAGGUGUGAAUAAACAACUCAUGAGAGAACCCUUGUAGUAGUAUUUUGGUAUCUGUAAGUACGUCUCUUCUCUUCAGCUGAAACCCAUAAGCAGCUAUGAAGUACCACCUGUUCCUGCUCCUCUUCGUCAUUAUGGGAAACUCAGUAAGUCAACAUCUCAGCUCUGUGACUAAAGUGUCUGUACAGAGAGGACAAACCAUCACCAUUCCAUUCCUCUAUAAUCAGAUGUACAAACAUCACAAGAAAUAUUGCUUGCGAGGAACUACACCCUAUGGAGAUUGGGAUGCUGAAGUACAGAAUGGAAAUAAGAGGAGCACUCGGGUCAUGUCUAUGUCUGAUGAUGUCACCAACAACAUUUUCACUCUGACUGUGAGGAUGGAUGUUGGAGUUCCGUAUCCUAAUGUGAAUGUUAAGAGAUAUCAUUGUUGGGUUGCAAGAGGUGGACCAUCUAAUGAGAAAGCGUUCAGUUUGUUAGACAC